This 19-nucleotide non-coding RNA is filed under the name Arabidopsis thaliana (thale cress). The record is from RNAcentral. Lineage: Eukaryota; Viridiplantae; Streptophyta; Magnoliopsida; Brassicales; Brassicaceae.
AGGCAAUAACAGGUCUGUG